Molecule: long non-coding RNA, 216 nt
Filed under: Mytilus galloprovincialis (Mediterranean mussel)
Lineage: Eukaryota; Metazoa; Mollusca; Bivalvia; Mytilida; Mytilidae
Source: RNAcentral
UGGGAAUUUAAUUAUUGACUUUUUUUCAAUUUAAUUGUCAUAUUUCAAAUAUAAGAUCAAUUCGUAGUUGCGAGCUUUAAUUUCAAAUAUUGUCAUCACAGGCGCUUGUAUAUAGAAUUAAUAUAUCGAGUGUGUCGUUGUUUGCACUGAAUAUUCAAUUGUCUAAUACUUCUAGUUUGGAGUAAAUUCGCUAGCUCCGAUACAAUCGCUUAUUUC